GGUUAAGCGACUAAGCGUACACGGUGGAUGCCCUGGCAGUCAGAGGCGAUGAAGGACGUGCUAAUCUGCGAUAAGCGUCGGUAAGGUGAUAUGAACCGUUAUAACCGGCGAUUUCCGAAUGGGGAAACCCAGUGUGAUUCGUCACACUAUCAUUACGUGAAUACAUAGCGUAAUGAAGCGAACCGGGGGAACUGAAACAUCUAAGUACCCCGAGGAAAAGAAAUCAACCGAGAUUCCCCCAGUAGCGGCGAGCGAACGGGGAGCAGCCCAGAGUCUGAAUCAGCUUGUGUGUUAGUGGAACGGUCUGGAAAGUCCGACGGUACAGGGUGAUAGUCCCGUACACCAAAAUGCACAGGUUGUGAACUCGAAGAGUAGGGCGGGACACGUGGUAUCCUGUCUGAAUAUGGGGGGACCAUCCUCCAAGGCUAAAUACUCCUGACUGACCGAUAGUGAACCAGUACCGUGAGGGAAAGGCGAAAAGAACCCCGGCGAGGGGAGUGAAAAAAGAACCUGAAACCGUGUACGUACAAGCAGUGGGAGCAUCCUUUUGGGUGUGACUGCGUACCUUUUGUAUAAUGGGUCAGCGACUUAUAUUCUGUAGCAAGGUUAACCGUAUAGGGGAGCCGAAGGGAAACCGAGUCUUAACUGGGCGUUAAGUUGCAGGGUAUAGACCCGAAACCCGGUGAUCUAGCCAUGGGCAGGUUGAAGGUUGGGUAACACUAACUGGAGGACCGAACCGACUAAUGUUGAAAAAUUAGCGGAUGACUUGUGGCUGGGGGUGAAAGGCCAAUCAAACCGGGAGAUAGCUGGUUCUCCCCGAAAGCUAUUUAGGUAGCGCCUCGUGAACUCAUCUUCGGGGGUAGAGCACUGUUUCGGCUAGGGGGUCAUCCCGACUUACCAACCCGAUGCAAACUGCGAAUACCGAAGAAUGUUAUCACGGGAGACACACGGCGGGUGCUAACGUCCGUCGUGAAGAGGGAAACAACCCAGACCGCCAGCUAAGGUCCCAAAGUCAUGGUUAAGUGGGAAACGAUGUGGGAAGGCACAGACAGCCAGGAUGUUGGCUUAGAAGCAGCCAUCAUUUAAAGAAAGCGUAAUAGCUCACUGGUCGAGUCGGCCUGCGCGGAAGAUGUAACGGGGCUAAACCAUGCACCGAAGCUGCGGCAGCGACACUAUGUGUUGUUGGGUAGGGGAGCGUUCUGUAAGCCGUUGAAGGUGUAUCGUGAGGUAUGCUGGAGGUAUCAGAAGUGCGAAUGCUGACAUAAGUAACGAUAAUGCGGGUGAAAAACCCGCACGCCGGAAGACCAAGGGUUCCUGUCCAACGUUAAUCGGGGCAGGGUGAGUCGACCCCUAAGGCGAGGCCGAAAGGCGUAGUCGAUGGGAAACAGGUUAAUAUUCCUGUACUUGGUGUUACUGCGAAGGGGGGACGGAGAAGGCUAUGUUAGCCGGGCGACGGUUGUCCCGGUUUAAGCAUGUAGGCGGAGGUUCCAGGUAAAUCCGGUACCUUUUUAACGCUGAGGUGUGAUGACGAGGCACUACGGUGCUGAAGUAACAAAUGCCCUGCUUCCAGGAAAAGCCUCUAAGCAUCAGGUAACACAAAAUCGUACCCCAAACCGACACAGGUGGUCAGGUAGAGAAUACCAAGGCGCUUGAGAGAACUCGGGUGAAGGAACUAGGCAAAAUGGUGCCGUAACUUCGGGAGAAGGCACGCUGAUAUGUAGGUGAAGUGAUUUACUCAUGGAGCUGAAAUCAGUCGAAGAUACCAGCUGGCUGCAACUGUUUAUUAAAAACACAGCACUGUGCAAACACGAAAGUGGACGUAUACGGUGUGACGCCUGCCCGGUGCCGGAAGGUUAAUUGAUGGGGUUAUCCGUAAGGAGAAGCUCUUGAUCGAAGCCCCGGUAAACGGCGGCCGUAACUAUAACGGUCCUAAGGUAGCGAAAUUCCUUGUCGGGUAAGUUCCGACCUGCACGAAUGGCGUAAUGAUGGCCGGGCUGUCUCCACCCGAGACUCAGUGAAAUUGAACUCGCUGUGAAGAUGCAGUGUACCCGCGGCAAGACGGAAAGACCCCGUGAACCUUUACUAUAGCUUGACACUGAACACUGGUCCUUGAUGUGUAGGAUAGGUGGGAGGCUUUGAAGUGUGGACGCCAGUCUGCAUGGAGCCAUCCUUGAAAUACCACCCUUUAAUGGCUGGUGUUCUAACGUGGACCCGUUACCCGGGUUGCGGACAGUGUCUGGUGGGUAGUUUGACUGGGGCGGUCUCCUCCUAAAGAGUAACGGAGGAGCACGAAGGUUAGCUAAUCCUGGUCGGACAUCAGGAGGUUAGUGCAAAGGCAUAAGCUAGCUUGACUGCGAGAGUGACGGCUCGAGCAGGUGCGAAAGCAGGUCUUAGUGAUCCGGUGGUUCUGAAUGGAAGGGCCAUCGCUCAACGGAUAAAAGGUACUCCGGGGAUAACAGGCUGAUACCGCCCAAGAGUUCAUAUCGACGGCGGUGUUUGGCACCUCGAUGUCGGCUCAUCACAUCCUGGGGCUGAAGUAGGUCCCAAGGGUAUGGCUGUUCGCCAUUUAAAGUGGUACGCGAGCUGGGUUUAGAACGUCGUGAGACAGUUCGGUCCCUAUCUGCCGUGGGCGCUGGAGAAUUGAGGGGGGCUGCUCCUAGUACGAGAGGACCGGAGUGGACGCAUCACUGGUGUUCGGGUUGUCAUGCCAAUGGCAUUGCCCGGUAGCUAAAUGCGGAAGAGAUAAGUGCUGAAAGCAUCUAAGCACGAAACUUGCCCCGAGAUGAGUUCUCCCUGAGACUUUAAGUCUCCUGAAGGAACGUUAAAGACGAUGACGUUGAUAGGUCGGGUGUGUAAGUGUAGCGAUACAUUGAGCUAACCGAUACUAAUGAACCGUGAGGCUUAACCUU
This 2909-nucleotide ribosomal RNA is filed under the name Citrobacter freundii. Its description in RNAcentral is "23S ribosomal RNA". It matches the Rfam family "Bacterial large subunit ribosomal RNA". Lineage: Bacteria; Pseudomonadati; Pseudomonadota; Gammaproteobacteria; Enterobacterales; Enterobacteriaceae. The record is from RNAcentral.